UACGGAGGAUGCGAGCGUUAUCCGGAUUUAUUGGGUUUAAAGGGUGCGCAGGCGGCACGGCAAGCCGGCGGUCAAAUCGCGGGGCUCAACCCCGCCCAGCCGUCGGAACUGCCGGGCUAGAGUGGGCGAGAAGUGCGCGGAAUGCGUGGUGUAGCGGUGAAAUGCAUAGAUAUCACGCAGAACUCCGAUUGCGUAGGCAGCGCACCGGCGCCCUACUGACGCUCAGGCACGAAAGCGUGGGUAUCGAACAGG
This 252-nucleotide ribosomal RNA is filed under the name uncultured bacterium. RNAcentral's name for it is "partial 16S ribosomal RNA". It matches the Rfam family "Bacterial small subunit ribosomal RNA", at positions 524 to 776 of the family's 1533-position model. The record is from RNAcentral.